RNAcentral lists this ribosomal RNA (775 nucleotides) under uncultured Neocallimastigales. Its description in RNAcentral is "partial large subunit ribosomal RNA". It matches the Rfam family "Eukaryotic large subunit ribosomal RNA", at positions 24 to 633 of the family's 3401-position model. The record is from RNAcentral. Lineage: Eukaryota; Fungi; Neocallimastigomycota; Neocallimastigomycetes; Neocallimastigales.
UCGCAUCUGUGCAUGCAGCAUAUCAAUAAGCGGAGGAAAAGAAACUAACAAGGAUUCCCUUAGUAACGGCGAGUGAAGCGGGAAGAGCUCAAAUUUGAAAUCUUGAAAGGUCACCUUUCACGAAUUGUAGUUUAAAGAAGUGUUUUUCUGCUGAAGUUUUGGUAAAAGUUCUUUGGAAUAGGACAUCAUAGAGGGUGAGAAUCCCGUAUUUGACCAUUAUUUUCAGCUUUGUGAUACACUUUCAAAGAGUCGGAUUGUUUGGGAAUGCAGUCCAAAAUGGGUGGUAAAUUUCAUCUAGAGCUAAAUAUUGGCGAGAGACCGAUAGCGAACAAGUACCGUGAGGGAAAGAUGAAAAGAACUUUGAAAAGAGAGUUAAAUAGUACGUGAAAUUGUCAAAAGGGAAGCGUUUAACACCAGUGUUGUUUUCUGAAAAUCAACCUCUGUUAGCUUUAUGCAUGUUUGUUUAGACCUAAUCAGCUAUCUUGCAUGUUCUAUUGUUUGCAGUGGUGCACUUAUCAGUUUACAGGUCAACAUCAGUUUUUUUUUACCGUAAAAAAGUUAAAGAAAGGUAGCUCAUGGCUCCGGUCGUGAGUGUUAUAGUCUUUUUCCUAUGCGGUAGGAGAGACUGAGGUCUGCAGUGUAGGCUAUUUGGCUAGAUACUCAGGUGCUAUGUGAUACCAUUUCAUAAACAACUUGUUGAUUAUGUUUUGUCUACUUGCAUACUCGCUUGUACUAUCAUACCUACGCUUAGGAUGUUGACGAUCAGCUGAGCGCG